AGAACGAACGCUGGCGGCGUGGAUAAGACAUGCAAGUCGAACGGGCUUAGUUUUAGAGCAAUCUAGGGUUGAGCCAGUGGCGAACGGGUGCGUAACACGUGAGUCAUCUGCCUGAAAGUGGGGGAUAGCUCGCCGAAAGGCGAAUUAAUACCGCAUGUGGUUGUGAAACCAAAGCCGGGGCAACCUGGCGCUUUUAGAGGAGCUCGCGGCCUAUCAGCUUGUUGGUGAGGUAACAGCUUACCAAGGCAACGACGGGUAGCUGGUCUGAGAGGACGACCAGCCACACUGGAACUGAGACACGGUCCAGACACCUACGGGUGGCAGCAGUCGAGAAUUUUUCUCAAUGGGGGAAACCCUGAAGGAGCGACGCCGCGUGGAGGAUGAAGGCUUUCGGGUUGUAAACUCCUGUCAUUUGGGAACAAGUCUUACGUUAACUGCGUGGAGAUUUGAUAGUACCGAAAGAGGAAGAGACGGCUAACUCUGCGCCAGCAGCCGCGGUAA
Molecule: ribosomal RNA, 501 nt
Filed under: uncultured bacterium
Lineage: Bacteria
Description: SSU rRNA
Rfam family: Bacterial small subunit ribosomal RNA
Source: RNAcentral